This 744-nucleotide unclassified non-coding RNA is filed under the name Hevea brasiliensis (rubber tree). The record is from RNAcentral. Lineage: Eukaryota; Viridiplantae; Streptophyta; Magnoliopsida; Malpighiales; Euphorbiaceae.
UCAAGUGCUCUGCUAAGAUUGAAAAUAGCUCUGCAGCUGUGAAAGAGAAGAGUGUUUCGGUCAUUCUGUUGGCUGGAGGGAAGGGCAAAAGAAUGGGUGCAAGCAUGCCAAAGCAAUAUCUACCUCUGUUAGGCCAGCCAAUUGCUUUAUACAGUUUCUACACAUUCUCAAAAAUGACCGAGGUGAAAGAAAUUGUUGUAGUCUGCGAUCCAUCCUACCAAGACAUUUUUGAAGAUGCCAAAGAAAAUAUCACUGUGGACCUCAAAUUUGCACUGCCUGGGAAGGAAAGACAAGAUUCUGUAUACAAUGGCCUUCAGGAAGUUGAUUUGAACUCUGAGCUUGUUUGUGUCCAUGACUCAGCUAGACCUCUGGUGUCAUCUGCAGAAGUAAAAGAGGUCCUCAAAGAUGCUUGGAUAAACGGAGCAGCUGUGCUUGGUGUUCCUGCUAAAGCUACAAUUAAGGAGGCGAAUAGUGAAUCUUUUGUAGUGAGAACUCUUGACCGCAAAACACUUUGGGAAAUGCAAACCCCACAGGUGAUUAAGCCUGAUUUGCUUAAAAAAGGCUUUGAGCUUGUGAACAGAGGUGGUCUUGAAGUCACUGAUGAUGUUUCUAUUGUGGAGCACCUUAAACAUCCCGUAUACAUUACCGAAGGAUCUUACACGAACAUCAAGGUCACAACUCCGGAUGAUUUGUUACUUGCUGAGAGAAUUUUGAACUUGAAUUCUGGAGAAUCUUCGAAAUAGG